This 1157-nucleotide ribosomal RNA is filed under the name human gut metagenome. RNAcentral's name for it is "bacterial LSU rRNA". It matches the Rfam family "Bacterial large subunit ribosomal RNA", at positions 1783 to 2925 of the family's 2925-position model. The record is from RNAcentral.
CCAGGGGGUAGCGACUGUUUACCAAAAACACAGGUGCAUGCCAAGACGCAAGUCGCCGUAUAUGCACUGACGCCUGCCCGGUGCCGGAAGGUUAAGAGGAUCCAUCAGCGUCCCCUCGCGGGAUGCGAAGUGGUGAAUUCAAGCCCCGGUAAACGGCGGUGGUAACUAUAACCAUCCUAAGGUAGCGAAAUUCCUUGUCGGGUAAGUUCCGACCUGCACGAAUGGCGUAACGACUUCCCCGCUGUCUCGACCAGGAGCUCGGCGAAAUUGCAGUACGAGUAAAGAUGCUCGUUAAGCGCAGAAGGACGAAAAGACCCCGGGACCUUUACUAUACCUUGGUAUUGGCAUCAGGUGCGGAUUGUGUAGCAUAGGCGGGAGGCUUCGAAGCCGCGGCGCCAGCCGUGGUGGAGCCGGCCAGUGAAAUACCGCUCUGUCCCCAUCUGAUGCCUAACCCGGACAAGUCAGCCUUGUCGGGGAGAGUGCCUGGCGGGUAGUUUAACUGGGGCGGUUGCCUCCCAAAGAGUAACGGAGGCGCUCAAAGGUCCGCUCGGCCCGGUUGGCAAUCGGGUGUCGAGUGUAAUCGCACAAGCGGGCUUGACUGCGAGAUCGACGGAUCGAGCAGGGACGAAAGUCGGAGAUAGUGAUCCGGUGCCGGCGUACGGACGCGGCAUCGCUCAACGGAUAAAAGGUACCCCGGGGAUAACAGGCUGAUCAUUCCCAAGAGUCCAUAUCGACGGGAUGGUUUGGCACCUCGAUGUCGGCUCGUCGCAUCCUGGGGCUGGAGCAGGUCCCAAGGGUUCGGCUGUUCGCCGAUUAAAGCGGCACGCGAGCUGGGUUCAGAACGUCGUGAGACAGUUUGGUCUCUAUCCUCUGCGCUCGUUGGAAUCCUGAGGAGGCCUGCCCAUAGUACGAGAGGACCUGGGUGGACGAACCUCUGGUAUGCCAGUUGUCGCGCCAGCGGCACGGCUGGUUGGCCACGUUCGGGAGGGAUAACCGCUGAAAGCAUCUAAGCGGGAAGCCCGCUCCAAGAUAAGGAUUCCUGACACCCCCCCCGGGGGUGUGUGAGACCCCAUAGAGAACAUGUGGUUGAUAGACCGGACGUGGAAGCCCCGCGAGGGGUGGAGCCGACCGGCACUAACGGUCGAAGACAACCAACA